UACGAAGGGGGCUAGCGUUGCUCGGAAUCACUGGGCGUAAAGCGCACGUAGGCGGAUUGCUAAGUCAGGGGUGAAAUCCUGGAGCUCAACUCCAGAACUGCCUUUGAUACUGGCGAUCUCGAGUCCGGGAGAGGUGAGUGGAACUGCGAGCGUAGAGGUGAAAUUCGUAGAUAUUCGCAAGAACACCAGUGGCGAAGGCGGCUCACUGGCCCGGUACUGACGCUGAGGUGCGAAAGCAUGGGGAGCGAACAGG
This 253-nucleotide ribosomal RNA is filed under the name uncultured bacterium. Its description in RNAcentral is "partial 16S ribosomal RNA". It matches the Rfam family "Bacterial small subunit ribosomal RNA", at positions 524 to 776 of the family's 1533-position model. The record is from RNAcentral.